UUUUCAUGGCUGUUGCAACCCCUUCCAAGGCUUCUUCACUUGCAAAUUCACCAUAUUCUUCUUAUUCCUCGGCUUUCUCCUCCAAUUCCUCUUCCGCCAAGUCACCAACACCAUCCUUAUGACCAUCCAAAUCUGGUAGGGGAGCACGCAAGUCAUUUCCUAUUGGAGCUCCAAAGAGUUCUUUUAAGCUCCUCUUCUCCUAGCCUCAAGGCUAAAAAAGGAUCCUCUUUUGACGCUGAGUCUCCCAACUGCCGAUGAUGAAGUUUCUGACUCCCCUUCUCCUAGCCCUAAAAGGAAUGAUGAUGUCGUUGAUAGUGGAAGCCCAAAAUCCACUAAUGACAGUCUUGCACCAGAACCUUUUAAUUUCGUAGCAAUCAAAGCCAUCACUGGCAUUGUCGGUGUUGUAGUUGUUACCGAAUUCUUCCUCUUCUAAGCUUCAC
RNAcentral lists this long non-coding RNA (440 nucleotides) under Gossypium barbadense (sea-island cotton). Its description in RNAcentral is "long non-coding RNA (GBAR_LNC014631)". Lineage: Eukaryota; Viridiplantae; Streptophyta; Magnoliopsida; Malvales; Malvaceae. The record is from RNAcentral.